CCUACGGGCGGCAGCAGUGGGGAAUAUUGGACAAUGGGGGGAACCCUGAUCCAGCCAUGCCGCGUGUGUGAAGAAGGCCCUCGGGUUGUAAAGCACUUUCAGUGAGGAAGAACGCCUGGUGGUUAAUACCCAUCAGGAAAGACAUCACUCACAGAAGAAGCACCGGCUAACUCCGUGCCAGCAGCCGCGGUAAUACGGAGGGUGCGAGCGUUAAUCGGAAUUACUGGGCGUAAAGCGCGCGUAGGUGGCUUGAUAAGCCGGUUGUGAAAGCCCCGGGCUCAACCUGGGAACGGCAUCCGGAACUGUCAAGCUAGAGUGCAGGAGAGGAAGGUAGAAUUCCCGGUGUAGCGGUGAAAUGCGUAGAGAUCGGGAGGAAUACCAGUGGCGAAGGCGGCCUUCUGGACUGACACUGACACUGAGGUGCGAAAGCGUGGGCAGCAAACAGGAUUAGAUACCCUAGUAGUC
RNAcentral lists this ribosomal RNA (465 nucleotides) under Vreelandella stevensii. Its description in RNAcentral is "partial 16S ribosomal RNA". It matches the Rfam family "Bacterial small subunit ribosomal RNA", at positions 338 to 795 of the family's 1533-position model. The record is from RNAcentral. Lineage: Bacteria; Pseudomonadati; Pseudomonadota; Gammaproteobacteria; Oceanospirillales; Halomonadaceae.